CUACGGGCUGCUCCAGUGAGGAAUAUUGCACAAUGGGGGGAACCCUGAUGCAGCAACGCCGCGUGGAGGAUGACGCAUUUCGGUGUGUAAACUCCUUUUAUAUGUCAAGAAAAUGACGGUAGCAUAUGAAUAAGCACCAGCUAACUCCGUGCCAGCAGCCGCGGUAAUACGGAGGGUGCAAGCGUUAAUCGGAAUCACUGGGCGUAAAGGACGCGUAGGCGGGCUUGUAAGUCAGGUGUGAAAUCCUACAGCUUAACUGUAGAACUGCACUUGAAACUACGAGCCUAGAGUAUGGGAGGGGCAGAUGGAAUUAGUGGUGUAGGGGUAAAAUCCGUAGAUAUCACUAGGAAUACCUAAAGCGAAGGCGAUCUGCUGGAACAUAACUGACGCUAAGGCGUGAAAGCGUGGGGAGCAAACAGGAUUAGAUACCCUAGUAGUC
This 439-nucleotide ribosomal RNA is filed under the name uncultured bacterium. RNAcentral's name for it is "partial 16S ribosomal RNA". It matches the Rfam family "Bacterial small subunit ribosomal RNA", at positions 339 to 795 of the family's 1533-position model. The record is from RNAcentral.